AGGGAAAUAAACAGCGGGAAACAAAAUGGGAGGAAAGUAAAACGAGGAAACUAAAUAGACAAAGCAAUUAAAACAUAAAUAAAUCUGAAUAAAAUAAGAAUCUGCUCCAAGAGGAGACUUGAAUCUGGUAUAAUGCGAGUAGACAAAAAUAAACUUUGAUGGAAUGUAAAUGUGGGAAGAUAAAUAGCCUCAAAAUAAAGGUGCUCAAAACUUGAUACACGAACAAAAUGCGAUAAACAUUUGAUGUAAGGAGUUAAAG
RNAcentral lists this long non-coding RNA (259 nucleotides) under Lathyrus oleraceus (garden pea). RNAcentral's name for it is "Pisum sativum (pea) long non-coding RNA (PSAT_LNC005316)". Lineage: Eukaryota; Viridiplantae; Streptophyta; Magnoliopsida; Fabales; Fabaceae. The record is from RNAcentral.